Molecule: ribosomal RNA, 398 nt
Filed under: uncultured bacterium
Lineage: Bacteria
Description: bacterial SSU rRNA
Rfam family: Bacterial small subunit ribosomal RNA
Source: RNAcentral
UAUUUCGCAAUGGGGGAAACCCUGACGCAGCAACGCCGCGUGGCGGAUGACACUUUUCGGCGCGUAAACUCCUUUUGUUAGGGAAGAAUAAUGACGGUACCUAACGAAUAAGCACCGGCUAACUCCGUGCCAGCAGCCGCGGUAAUACGGAGGGUGCAAGCGUUACUCGGAAUCACUGGGCGUAAAGGACGCGUAGGCGGAUUAUCAAGUCUCGUGUGAAAUCUAACGGCUUAACCGUUAAACUGCUUGGGAAACUGAUAAUCUAGAGUAAGGGAGAGGCAGAUGGAAUUCUUGGUGUAGGGGUAAAAUCCGUAGAUAUCAAGAAGAAUACCUAUUGCGAAGGCGAUCUGCUGGAACUUAACUGACGCUAAUGCGUGAAAGCGUGGGGAGCAAACAGG